RNAcentral lists this unclassified non-coding RNA (308 nucleotides) under Hevea brasiliensis (rubber tree). The record is from RNAcentral. Lineage: Eukaryota; Viridiplantae; Streptophyta; Magnoliopsida; Malpighiales; Euphorbiaceae.
UUGAAGGUUAGACAUGCCAAGUGAUGCAUUUGUCCUUGGACAUAGAUAUGAAUUCUUUUUGUUAAUUAUACUUUGAGGAUAGAUAUCCACUCUGAAGGCUUAAGGCGCUUUAGGAAGGUUGUAUGAUACAAAUUUUCCGUUCAUCCUCAGACACGACGUGCAUCACGAGAGUUGGAUCACAGAGUUUGGAGUUGGGUGUGAUAUGAAGAUGGAAGAAGAUUUUGCCCCCACCAAAUGAUAUGUCUCUGGUUGGGGUGAUUAUUCGAAAAGGAUGCGAAAUUCGUGUCCGAACUGGAGGAGGGAUCUCG